Molecule: unclassified non-coding RNA, 847 nt
Filed under: Hevea brasiliensis (rubber tree)
Lineage: Eukaryota; Viridiplantae; Streptophyta; Magnoliopsida; Malpighiales; Euphorbiaceae
Source: RNAcentral
ACCACAUGCUCUCCUUUAUAAGCAAUACCAAUUGAAGACUCGCCAAACUUUUCUUUUCCUUCCUUCCUUCCCUCUCAACUCUCCACUCUCUACAGCUGCAAUUCUCCUUCUGUCGUCCCUCUCCUCUGCUUCUUCUCUGCUACUAUUACUGGGGGUGAAUUUCAGCCUUACCAAAUUGAAAGAAAUGGGCACCUGUUUCUCUUGUUCAGUCUUCAGUGAAUCUCAGCUUCUUCCCCCUACAGCAAAGGUUGUUUCUGUUAAUGGCAAUCUCGAGGAAUACUAUGUUCCUGUAUUUGUCUCUCAAGUCCUCGACUCUGAAGCUGCAUCAUCCUCGUCUUCAUCAUCGUUCUCAUCUUCUUACUUCCUCUGCAAUUCUGACUUUUUAUCCUAUGAUGAUUACAUUCCGGCCUUGGAUUCCAACGCUCAGCUCUACGCUAAUCAGUUAUACUUUGUUCUUCCUAGAUCUAAACUUCAAAACAGGCUGACCGCUUCUGACAUGGCAGCUUUGGCCGUAAAAGCUAGUGUAGCCAUCCAAAAUGCGUCGAAGAAAGAAGCUCAUCGGCGUAAGAAGGCCAGGAUUUCUCCUGUUUCGUUAGGCAAUCAGUUCCCUUCAUUAGAUGAUGAUGGCCAUGUUAUUAAGUCGUUUGAGAAGCCACAGGCACAGCAGCAAUCACCUGUAGGGCUUUCGAGAUCCGGGUCUGUUAGAAGAUUACGAAAGUAUACUUCCAGACGAGCGAAAUUAGCUGUUCGCUCCUUUAAGCUCAGAUUAAGCACCAUUUACGAAGGGACAGUGCUUUGAGUUUUUUUUAUUUGUUUAAUUUUUUUUUUUUUAAUUUUCUAGUAGAAC